UUUGUUCUCAACAAUUUUAUCUCACCAACAAAGAUGUACGUACAUUAUUAUACAUGUACGUACAUAGAGGUGUCAAAAUGGGUCAAAAUUCAUGGGUCAACUCAACUCAACUCAACCCAUGAACCCUAAUGAGUUAAAUUUUUUGACUCAAAUGAGUUGAUGGGUCAAAUGAGUUAUUGAGUCAAUUGGUUUGAUGAGUCAAAUGAGUUGGGUUGUAAUGGUUAAUGGUUUCAAUGAUUUACCCAAUUAACCUAUCAAGUUUUGUAAAAUUAAAUUAAACCAACUAAAAUCUCUAAACCAAUGUCAAUUUAAGCUUAACCAACACAUCUAAACCAAUUUAAUAAAAUCAAUAUUUUCCAAAUUUCUUAAAUAUACAAGUGAUGAAAUUGAGAAUAAGUAAACGAGUAAUUUUUCCACCAAAAAAUAUAAACCCGUGAUUUUCCGCCAAAAACAUAAACCCGUGAUUUUCCUGCCAAAAACAUAAACCCGUGAUUUUCCCGCCAAAAACGUAAACCCAUAAUUUUCCCGCCAAAAACCAAAAUCUGUGAUUUUUCCGCCAAAAACGUAAAACCGUGAUUUUCCUGCCAAAAACGUAAACCCAUAAUAUUUCCGCCAAAAACGUAAACCCGUGAUUUUCCCGCCAAAAAUGUAAACCCGUAAUUUUUCCGCCAAAAAACGUAAACCCGUGAUUUUCCCGCAGAAACGUAUAACCUGUAAACCUGUGAUUUUCUCGCCAAAAACGUAAACCUGUAAACCUGUGAUUUUCCUGCCAAAAACGUAAACCCGUAAUUUUUCCGCCAAAAACGUAAAUCCGUAAAAAAGUGGAAUCCGUAAAUAUUUUAAGUUUGAUGAUAAUAAAUUAAUAAUUAUUAAUAAUGAUAAUUAUUUAUUAUUGUUUCAUA
Molecule: small RNA, 902 nt
Filed under: Arabidopsis thaliana (thale cress)
Lineage: Eukaryota; Viridiplantae; Streptophyta; Magnoliopsida; Brassicales; Brassicaceae
Description: ATSL097650
Source: RNAcentral